Leptonychotes weddellii (Weddell seal) is the source of this 135-nucleotide small nuclear RNA. RefSeq annotates it as U4 spliceosomal RNA. The record is from RefSeq and is a predicted model, not a curated record. NCBI's taxonomy places the organism in Eukaryota, Metazoa, Chordata, Mammalia, Carnivora, Phocidae.
AGCUUUGCGCAGUGGCAGUAUCGUAGCCAAUGAGGUUUAUCCGAGGCGCGAUUAUUGCUAAUUGAAAACUUUUCCCAAUACCCCGCCAUGACGACUUGAAAAGGCAGGGAAGCCAAUUGUGAUCUCCACAAGUAA